This 492-nucleotide ribosomal RNA is filed under the name uncultured bacterium. Its description in RNAcentral is "partial 16S ribosomal RNA". It matches the Rfam family "Bacterial small subunit ribosomal RNA", at positions 29 to 507 of the family's 1533-position model. The record is from RNAcentral.
AGUGAACGCUGGCGGUAGGCCUAACACAUGCAAGUCGAACGGCAGCACAGUAAGAGCUUGCUCUUACGGGUGGCGAGUGGCGGACGGGUGAGGAAUACAUCGGAAUCUACUUUUUCGUGGGGGAUAACGUAGGGAAACUUACGCUAAUACCGCAUACGACCUACGGGUGAAAGCAGGGGAUCUUCGCACCUUGCGCGAUUGAAUGAGCCGAUGUCGGAUUAGCUAGUUGGCGGGGUAAAGGCCCACCAAGGCGACGAUCCGUAGCUGGUCUGAGAGGAUGAUCAGCCGCACUGGAACUGAGACACGGUCCAGACUCCUACGGGAGGCAGCAGUGGGGAAUAUUAGACAAUGGGCGCAAGCCUGAUCCAGCCAUACCGCGUGGGUGAAGAAGGCCUUCGGGUUGGAAAGCCCUUUUGUUGGGAAAGAAAAGCAGCAGGUUAAUACCCCGCUGUUCUGACGGUACCCAAUGAAUAAGCACCGGCUAACUUCGUG